GGGUCAGUAGGUUGGUCGUGCCACCGGUACGUACUGGUCUCACUGAUUCCUCCUUCCUGAAGAACCGUAAUGCCAUUAAUUUGGUGUUGCGGGGAAACAGGGCUGUUACUUUGAAAAAAUUAGAGUGUUUAAAGCAAGCUAACGCUUGAAUACAUUAGCGUGGAAUAAUGAAAUAGGACGAUCGAUCCUAUUUUGUUGGUUUCUAGGAUUGACGUA
This 216-nucleotide ribosomal RNA is filed under the name Glomeromycotina sp. RNAcentral's name for it is "partial small subunit ribosomal RNA". The stretch from base 40 to 216 matches the Rfam family "Eukaryotic small subunit ribosomal RNA", at positions 686 to 864 of the family's 1831-position model. The record is from RNAcentral. Lineage: Eukaryota; Fungi; Glomeromycota.